Molecule: long non-coding RNA, 324 nt
Organism: Hibiscus syriacus
Lineage: Eukaryota; Viridiplantae; Streptophyta; Magnoliopsida; Malvales; Malvaceae
Exons: 2
Source: RefSeq, a predicted model, not a curated record
CCCAACCUUCGUUUCCCUCUUCUCUCAUCCUCUCUCUCCUUUUUAUUUCUCUCAACUAACAGAAUGAAAUUCUCUCUCUCCGGCCACCAUAAACGACACCGAUAAGGGCUCAAAAACAUUCUUUUUGGCCUCUCACCGGUUCCCUUAGGCAAAUCGAACCCUAAUUUUCUAAAUCAAUCUCGCAUACUCCCUAAAAACAAAACCCGAGAAAAUAAGGGUACCUUUCUUUUUAUUUUUGGAGACUCUACGACUUCGGCGAAGCAAGACAACUCGAGUCCAGCGUGAGUGGCGGUUGCGAGCAUGGUUCGGCUUGGACGGUGGCAA